AGAGCGAACGCUGGCGGCAGGCCUAACACAUGCAAGUCGAGCGCCCGUAGCAAUACGGGAGCGGCAGACGGGAUAGUAACACGUGGGAACGCGCCCUUCGGUUCGGAAUAACUCAGGGAAACUUGAGCUAAUACCGGAUACGCCCUUACGGGGAAAGAUUUAUUGCCGAAGGAACGGCCCGCGUCCGAUUAGCUAGUUGGUGAGGUAAUGGCUCACCAAGGCGACGAUCGGUAGCUGGUCUGAGAGGAUGACCAGCAUCACUGGGACUGAGACACGGCCCAGACUCCUACGAGAGGCAGCAGUGGGGAAUAUUGGACAAUGGGCGCAAGCCUGAUCCAGCAAUGCCGCGUGAGUGAUGAAGGCCUUCGGGUUGUAAAGCUCUUUCGCACGCGACGAUGAUGACGGUAGCGUGAGAAGACGCCCGGCUAACUUCGUCGCCAGCACGCCGC
This 449-nucleotide ribosomal RNA is filed under the name uncultured bacterium. RNAcentral describes it as "SSU rRNA". It matches the Rfam family "Bacterial small subunit ribosomal RNA", at positions 26 to 518 of the family's 1533-position model. The record is from RNAcentral.